Molecule: ribosomal RNA, 467 nt
Filed under: uncultured bacterium
Lineage: Bacteria
Description: partial 16S ribosomal RNA
Rfam family: Bacterial small subunit ribosomal RNA
Source: RNAcentral
ACGAACGCUGGCGGCGUGCUCAACCCAUGCAAGUCGCACGGAAAGGCCCUGCUUUUGUGGGGUGCUCGAGUGGCGAACGGGUGAGUAACACGUGAGUAACCUGCCCUUGACUUUGGGAUAACUUCAGGAAACUGGGGCUAAUACCGGAUAGGAGCUCCUGCUGCAUGGUGGGGGUUGGAAAGUUUCGGCGGUUGGGGAUGGACUCGCGGCUUAUCAGCUUGUUGGUGGGGUAGUGGCUUACCAAGGCUUUGACGGGUAGCCGGCCUGAGAGGGUGACCGGCCACAUUGGGACUGAGAUACGGCCCAGACUCCUACGGGAGGCAGCAGUGGGGAAUAUUGCACAAUGGGCGGAAGCCUGAUGCAGCAACGCCGCGUGCGGGAUGACGGCCUUCGGGUUGUAAACCGCUUUCGCCUGUGACGAAGCGUGAGUGACGGUAAUGGGUAAAGAAGCACCGGCUAACUACGUG